CUGACAGCCUGGAGACUGAAGUCCUCUAUUUGUCUGCAAAACAAAUGCAGCUCAUGCAGAAGCAGCUUCUCCACACUGCCUCAGAGACAUGUCAAGCUGACUUGGAGGAACCACCUCAAGGGAUGAAGUAGGUCACUUAAUUAUUCCGCCAUUAAAUUUCCUCCUUUG
RNAcentral lists this small RNA (168 nucleotides) under Chrysemys picta bellii (western painted turtle). RNAcentral's name for it is "TUC338 (ENSCPBG00000026793.1)". Lineage: Eukaryota; Metazoa; Chordata; Testudines; Emydidae. The record is from RNAcentral.